AUGGUUGGGGUUGAGGAGCGAGA
Molecule: microRNA, 23 nt
Filed under: Ananas comosus (pineapple)
Lineage: Eukaryota; Viridiplantae; Streptophyta; Magnoliopsida; Poales; Bromeliaceae
Description: microRNA s0834_c114a
Source: RNAcentral